GGGCCGUUAGCUCAUCUGGUAGAGCACCGGACUUUUAAUCCGGGUGUGGAAGGUUCGAGUCCUUCACGGCCCA
Molecule: transfer RNA, 73 nt
Filed under: Actinomycetes bacterium
Lineage: Bacteria; Bacillati; Actinomycetota; Actinomycetes
Description: Actinobacteria bacterium tRNA-Lys
Rfam family: tRNA
About the family: Transfer RNA (tRNA) molecules are approximately 80 nucleotides in length. Their secondary structure includes four short double-helical elements and three loops (D, anti-codon, and T loops). Further hydrogen bonds mediate the characteristic L-shaped molecular structure. tRNAs have two regions of fundamental functional importance: the anti-codon, which is responsible for specific mRNA codon recognition, and the 3' end, to which the tRNAs corresponding amino acid is attached (by aminoacyl-tRNA synthetases). tRNAs cope with the degeneracy of the genetic code in two manners: having more than one tRNA (with a specific anti-codon) for a particular amino acid; and 'wobble' base-pairing, i.e. permitting non-standard base-pairing at the 3rd anti-codon position.
Source: RNAcentral